Pecten maximus is the source of this 3232-nucleotide long non-coding RNA. RefSeq lists it as uncharacterized. Lineage: Eukaryota; Metazoa; Mollusca; Bivalvia; Pectinida; Pectinidae. The transcript has 2 exons. The record is from RefSeq and is a predicted model, not a curated record.
CCCAGGUCAACCUCCAAUCCCUAUAGUCCUCAUUACCCAGGUCUACCUCCAAUCCCUAUAGUCCUCAUUACCCAGGUCCACCUCCAAUCCCUAUAGUCCUCAUUACCCAGGUCUACCUCCGAUCCCUAUAGUCCUCAUUACCCAGGUCCACCUCCAAUCCCUAUAGUCCUCAUUACCCAGGUCUACCUCCAAUCCCUAUAGUCCUCAUUACCCAGGUCUACCUCCGAUCCCUAUAGUCCUCAUUACCCAGGUCUACCCUAUAGUCCUCAUUACCCAGGUCUACCUCCGAUCCCUAUAGUCCUCAUUACCCAGGUCUACCUCUGAUCCCUAUAGUCCUCAUUACCCAGGUCUACCUCUGAUCCCUAUAGUCCUCAUUACCCAGGUCUACCCUAUAGUCCACAUUACCCAGGUCCACCUCCAAUCCCUAUAGUCCUCAUUACCCAGGUCCACCUCCAAUCCCUAUAGUCCUCAUUACCCAGAUCUACCUCCAAUCCCUAUAGUCCUCAUUACCUAGGUCCACCUCCAAUCCCUAAUAGUCCUCAUUACCCAGGUCUACCUCCAAUCCCUAUAGUCCUCAUUACCCAGGUCUACCUCCAAUCCCUAUAGUCCUCAUUACCCAGCCCAAUCCCUAUUGUCCCCAGUAACCAGCUGUCUUGAAUUGUUAUUUGCUAGAAGUGUAAAGUCAUUAUGCUUUACAGAGAAUUAAUCAUAUUUACUGAAAUCCUUAAGCUAGGUAACCAAGUGUCAAUAAUGUUAAUGGAUUGAUCAGGAGUACUGGACCAUUUGAAAAUAUGACAAAAUGACUGAUGGGAACAAAAAUGAUUCAUAAAUAUGCUAAUGUAUGAAAGUCACAAAAAAUUUGAAUAAAUCAAUGUUCAAAUCUAUGCACAACACAUUGUAAGGCCUGCACAUAAACACAAUUUUCUGGCCAUUGAACCCGCAAUACCAUUGAACACCUGUAAAGGACUUGUACAUAUACAUAAGGUACACCAGCGAUUAUAUCAUGUACAGUAAACCUUCAAACUGGUGUAAUGUUGUCCUCUUAAUUCUUACGACUUCCAAUAUGAUUUCACAAUCACCAAUUUAUCAUUGUAAUACACAAAAACAAUUAUCAAACUUACAGAAACUUAUCCUACAUUUUAGUAAAACAUAUCAUACAUUUGUAGGACCUAUUUUCUCUAUGUAGAACAAGAUCCCAAACACUUUCAGCAGACACAUUUUAAGUGGUACAAGAUUAUGUUAAAAGGACACUAUGAUUGUAUACAAGUUAGAUGGAGAAGAGUGUGACAAUGCGAUCUGUACAGAAGAACAUUACCGCCAUCAAUUAUACACCUAUAUUAAAAAUAACUACAGUUAUGCUAUGGGUUCUUGAAUACAGAGAAACAAAUAUCAUCAGAUAUAAGUGUAUAAUUGAUGGCGGUAUUGCUCUUUCGUAGACCACAACUACUACCAAGUAUAUGGAUGUCUUAGAUUGUGUACGCCUUCCUAUACAGUGGGCUCACCAUUUGUAAAUUAUCAAUAGAUAGAUGGUAAAUGAAUUCUAAGAGAAAGACAGAAUUUGCUUGUAGGACAUUUAAGGGCAUGAUGACCCAGUUACUAUACAUAUAUUGCUAUAGAUUUCUGUAGCUGUGAUCACGGGCCUUAAUGGUCACCUGAGUCUUAAACAUGUAACUAUUUUUUUGAUGUAUUUACAAUGAAUUUCUAAAUAGUUCCUAUAUAAAUAACAGUAAAGUUUUGCCCCUCAUAAUAAUUCUAACCAAUUUUGAUUAAUUUUCAUUAAAAUGUGAUUUUCCUACAUCAAACAUAGUUCAGCACCUCUCCAGGGAGAAAUAUUUGAGAAACCUGCAACUCAUGCUGUAAAUGUGGCUAAUUAUCAUUUGUGGUGUGUCACAGCAAUGAAAGAAAAAUCAUCUGAAUUGCAAUUUUUGGAUAAUUUUGAAUUUUGUCUGGAAAACAUUUUUCAAAGUGUGAUAUCCGAGUCAUUUAUGAUUAUUUGACCUAAAACUUGCACACACCUUCAUACGAGCAGGUUUUUUAAAAUGUGACCCAAAUAAACCAUUUUGAAAGAAUUUUGAAUUUUUUUGUUUUCAUCAUUUGACCCCCAAGACCUUAAUUGAAUUAAGGUCAAGGUCAAUGAUAAGCAUCAUAUUUGUAGCAAUUAAACCAUACAUGCUAUCGAUUAGCCUUAGAUUCCAUUGGUCCAGACACCAUGUCUGGUGUAGGCUCAGAGCGCACUACUAUAUGAAAACAUGGAAUUCUCCGACACUGUGAAAUUUGUACAAGUGUAAAGCAAGGGUCUAUAGGGACGGAAAUGAACAAUGAUAUGGAACGAAAUUGGUGUUUAAGGGUAAAUCAAUAUAUCAUUUAUCUAUAUAUGUAAGGUAGGUGUUGUGUCAUACCCGAUUUUAUUGUAUUUGCACCAAAAUCUUAGCGACACCAAAUGUUGUCAGAAUUCCACGUUUUCAUAUAGUAGUGAGCUCUGGACCUUCACCAGACACGAUGUCAGGGCCAGAGGAAACUCGGGCAAGCUAUCGAUGUGCCAAAAAUCAAGCCUUCCUAUGUAUAGAUAAAGGAACAGAAAACUUUUAUAUGCAAGUUUGGGCAAUUUUUGAAUUUGGCGGGAAACACUUUGCUUUUUUUUCCCCUAUAUGUCUGUAUUUUUCUAUCUGAUGAUCAUAAAAUUUGCACAUUCUGUUUCAGUGAAUCAUGUUCUUUCAUAUAUGAUGAAAAGUUAUUCAAUUUGAGAUUUUUAUUUUUGACCUACUUUUAAUCCCUUAGCAAGGCCUUGGAACAUUCUCUGGUCACAUUCUCUGGUAGGAAGACUAAAAAUGGUUCAAGAGUUUUCGAGAAGAAGUCAAAAAUGUGAAAAUGUUAACUAACAAUGGAUGACGGACGACAGACGACAAACGACAACGGACAAAACCAGAUUGGAAAAAGUCACUGAGCUUUGCUCAGGUGACCUUAAAAAAAUACAACAGAUUUGAUUGCAUAUGUAUGCGUAGUCACAUAUAAUCUGGACCUUCUCUUAUCACAAUUACAGGUGAAGGCACACAAAACUGACGGGAAACACAUACAACAUGUCCGCCACAUUAUUCUUACGAUAUCCUAAUCAGUCCCUGGACUGAUACACAACAGGAAGACAAAAAAACAUUUCUGGUUACAAGAACAGAUAUCUUAUAACAAAACAACAAUUUCCUGUAGCAAUAUGCAAAAUUCAAAGCUCCAAAAAAAA